Molecule: ribosomal RNA, 578 nt
Filed under: uncultured Methanoregula sp.
Lineage: Archaea; Methanobacteriati; Methanobacteriota; Methanomicrobia; Methanomicrobiales; Methanoregulaceae
Description: bacterial SSU rRNA
Rfam family: Archaeal small subunit ribosomal RNA
Source: RNAcentral
CGGCUCAGUAACACGUGGACAACCUACCCUAUGGAGGGGGAUAACCCCGGGAAACUGGGGAUAAUACCCCAUAGACUAUAGAUGCUGGAAUGCUUUGUAGUUGAAAGGUCCGCCGCCAUAGGAUGGGUCUGCGGCCGAUUAGGUUGUUGUUGGGGUAACGGCCCAACAAGCCUGUAAUCGGUACGGGUUGUGGGAGCAAGAGCCCGGAGAUGGAUUCUGAGACACGAAUCCAGGCCCUACGGGGCGCAGCAGGCGCGAAAACUUUACAAUGCGGGAAACCGUGAUAAGGGAACUCCGAGUGCCCGUAAAAUCGGGCUGUCCAUCUGUUUAAAUAACAGGUGAAGAAAGGGCCGGGCAAGACCGGUGCCAGCCGCCGCGGUAAUACCGGCGGCUCGAGUGGUGGCCACUAUUACUGGGCUUAAAGCGUUCGUAGCUGGUCUGUUAAGUCUCUGGGGAAAUCUACUGGCUUAACCAAUAGGCGUCUCAUGGAUACUGGCAGACUAGGGACCGGGAGAGGUGAGAGGUACUCCAGGGGUAGGAGUGAAAUCCUGUAAUCCUUGGGGGACCACCUGUGGCGA